Small nucleolar RNA from Lutra lutra (Eurasian river otter), 114 nucleotides. RefSeq annotates it as small nucleolar RNA SNORA12. Lineage: Eukaryota; Metazoa; Chordata; Mammalia; Carnivora; Mustelidae. The transcript has a single exon. The record is from RefSeq and is a predicted model, not a curated record.
CAUGGUGAUGGCUUGCUUUCUGGCAUGCUAGUUACGUUUUCAAGGGAGUCUGACUCAGCCACGUAUGCGAGAUAGAAGCUGGCAAGUCUUGAUGGGAGAUUGGCUCCCACAUGU